UGAGCAAUCUGCCCUUCUCAUCGGAAUAAGCGUUGGAAACGACGUCUAAUGCCGAAUACGACCUCCUUUCGCAUGAUCGGAGGUGGAAAGCUCCGGCGGAGAAGGAUGAGCUCGCGGCCUAUCAGCUAGUUGGUGUGGGUAAUGGCCCACCAAGGCGACGACGGGUAGCCGGCCUGAGAGGGUGACCGGCCACACUGGGACUGGGACACGGCCCAGACCACCCGUACGGGGAGGNAG
This 237-nucleotide ribosomal RNA is filed under the name uncultured bacterium. RNAcentral's name for it is "partial 16S ribosomal RNA". It matches the Rfam family "Bacterial small subunit ribosomal RNA", at positions 118 to 351 of the family's 1533-position model. The record is from RNAcentral.